AUACUUACCUGGCAGGGGAGACACCAUGAUCACAAAGGUGGUUUUCCCAGGGCAAGACUCAUCCAUUGCACUCCAGAUGUGACCUCUAUGAUUUCCCCAAAUGUGAGAAACUUGACUGUAUAAUUUGUGAUUAUAAUUUUUUAAUUAAAAAAU
Molecule: small nuclear RNA, 153 nt
Organism: Pan paniscus (pygmy chimpanzee)
Lineage: Eukaryota; Metazoa; Chordata; Mammalia; Primates; Hominidae
Gene: U1
Rfam family: U1 spliceosomal RNA
About the family: U1 is a small nuclear RNA (snRNA) component of the spliceosome (involved in pre-mRNA splicing). Its 5' end forms complementary base pairs with the 5' splice junction, thus defining the 5' donor site of an intron.
Source: Ensembl